RNAcentral lists this ribosomal RNA (465 nucleotides) under Vreelandella stevensii. Its description in RNAcentral is "partial 16S ribosomal RNA". It matches the Rfam family "Bacterial small subunit ribosomal RNA", at positions 338 to 795 of the family's 1533-position model. Lineage: Bacteria; Pseudomonadati; Pseudomonadota; Gammaproteobacteria; Oceanospirillales; Halomonadaceae. The record is from RNAcentral.
CCUACGGGGGGCUGCAGUGGGGAAUAUUGGACAAUGGGGGGAACCCUGAUCCAGCCAUGCCGCGUGUGUGAAGAAGGCCCUCGGGUUGUAAAGCACUUUCAGUGAGGAAGAACGCCUGGUGGUUAAUACCCAUCAGGAAAGACAUCACUCACAGAAGAAGCACCGGCUAACUCCGUGCCAGCAGCCGCGGUAAUACGGAGGGUGCGAGCGUUAAUCGGAAUUACUGGGCGUAAAGCGCGCGUAGGUGGCUUGAUAAGCCGGUUGUGAAACCCCCGGGCUCAACCUGGGAACGGCAUCCGGAACUGUCAAGCUAGAGUGCAGGAGAGGAAGGUAGAAUUCCCGGUGUAGCGGUGAAAUGCGUAGAGAUCGGGAGGAAUACCAGUGGCGAAGGCGGCCUUCUGGACUGACACUGACACUGAGGUGCGAAAGCGUGGGUAGCAAACAGGAUUAGAUACCCGUGUAGUC